GACGAACGCUGGCGGCGUGCUUAACACAUGCAGGUCGAGCGACUGCAUUCUUUUCGGAGGGUGUAUGGAGCGGCGAACGGGUGAGUAACACGUGAGUAAUCUGCCUUUGGCUUGGGAAUAACUUCGGGAAAUCGGGGCUAAUGCCUGAUGUUUACUGUCUGCUGCAUGGUGGGUGGUGGAAAGAUUUUUUGGCCAGGGAUGGA
This 203-nucleotide ribosomal RNA is filed under the name uncultured bacterium. Its description in RNAcentral is "partial 16S ribosomal RNA". It matches the Rfam family "Bacterial small subunit ribosomal RNA", at positions 28 to 229 of the family's 1533-position model. The record is from RNAcentral.